Molecule: ribosomal RNA, 459 nt
Filed under: uncultured bacterium
Lineage: Bacteria
Description: partial 16S ribosomal RNA
Rfam family: Bacterial small subunit ribosomal RNA
Source: RNAcentral
CCUACGGGGGGCAGCAGUGAGGAAUAUUGGUCAAUGGGCGGGAGCCUGAACCAGCCAAGCCGCGUGAGGGAAGAAGGUACAGCGUAUCGUAAACCUCUUUUGUCAGGGAACAAAGGCGGGGACUAGUCCCCGGCUGCGGGUACCUGAAGAAAAAGCAUCGGCUAACUCCGUGCCAGCAGCCGCGGUAAUACGGAGGAUGCGAGCGUUAUCCGGAUUUAUUGGGUGUAAAGGGUGCGCAGGCGGCCUGUUAAGUCAGCGGUCAAAGCCCGGGGCUCAACCCCGGCGAGCCGUUGAAACUGGCGGGCUGGAGUUGGAGAGAAGUACGCGGAAUGCGCGGUGUAGCGGUGAAAUGCUUAGAUAUCGCGCAGAACCCCGAUUGCGAAGGCAGCGUACCGGCUCCACACUGACGCUGAGGCACGAGAGCGUGGGUAUCGAACAGGAUUAGAUACCCUGGUAGUC